Molecule: ribosomal RNA, 392 nt
Filed under: uncultured Bicosoecida
Lineage: Eukaryota; Bigyra; Bicosoecida
Description: partial small subunit ribosomal RNA
Rfam family: Eukaryotic small subunit ribosomal RNA
Source: RNAcentral
GCUUGUCUCAAAGAUUAAGCCAUGCAUGUCUAAGUAUAAACAAAUCUAUACUGUGAAACUGCGAAUGGCUCAUUAUAUCAGUUAUAGUUUAUUUGAUGGUUCUUGCUACUUGGAUAACCGUAGUAAUUCUAGAGCUAAUACAUGCAUCAAGCCCUGACAGCAAUGAAAGGGUGGAUUUAUUAGAUACAACCAACCCUUCGGGUUCCUGGUGAGUCAUAAUAACCGAACGAACCGCAGGCUUCGGCGGCGGUGGUUCAUUCAAGUUUCUGCCCUAUCAGCUUUCGAUGGUAGGGUAUUGGCCUACCAUGGCGUUAACGGGUAACGGAGAAUUAGGGUUCGAUUCCGGAGAGGGAGCCUGAGAGAUGGCUACCACAUCCAAGGAAGGCAGCAGG